RNAcentral lists this ribosomal RNA (329 nucleotides) under uncultured Solitalea sp. Its description in RNAcentral is "bacterial SSU rRNA". It matches the Rfam family "Bacterial small subunit ribosomal RNA", at positions 568 to 898 of the family's 1533-position model. Lineage: Bacteria; Pseudomonadati; Bacteroidota; Sphingobacteriia; Sphingobacteriales; Sphingobacteriaceae. The record is from RNAcentral.
UGCGUAGGCGGGAAAAUAAGUCAGUGGUGAAAGCACCGGGCUCAACUCGGUAACUGCCAUUGAUACUGUUUUUCUUGAAUGCGAUUGAGGUAAGCGGAAUGUUGCAUGUAGCGGUGAAAUGCUUAGAUAUGUUACAGAACACCAAUUGUGAAGACAGCUUACUAAGUCGUGAUUGACGCUGAGGCACGAAAGCGUGGGGAGCAAACAGGAUUAGAUACCCUGGUAGUCCACGCCCUAAACGAUGAUUACUCGACAUUGGCGAUAUACAGAUCAGUGUCUGAGCGAAAGCGUUAAGUAAUCCACCUGGGGAGUACGCUCGCAAGAGUGAA